RNAcentral lists this long non-coding RNA (1243 nucleotides) under Pan troglodytes (chimpanzee). RNAcentral describes it as "lincRNA". The record is from RNAcentral. Lineage: Eukaryota; Metazoa; Chordata; Mammalia; Primates; Hominidae.
UACCAGACCACAAACGUGGAUGGAGUUUCACUCUUAUGGCCCAGGCUGGAGUGCAAUGGCGUGAUCUCAGCUCACCAUAACCUCUGCCUCCCGGGUUCAAGUGAUUCUCCUACCUCAGCCUCCUGAGUAGCUGCGAUUACAGAUACAUAGCUUUGGCCAAGAAGUGUGGUUUUGAAGAGCCCAAACUGUAUCUGUUACCUGAUUUCAAAGAAUAUUCCACCUAGGAGAGACCCAGCUCCUGCAGACUUCCUCUGGACACUUUUGGCAGUCAUUGUUCCCAGCUGAUUCUGCAACAGAUGAAGGACGGAGGAUAGAAUCAUGAAUAGCAACAUCUUAAUUGCUGAUUGGGUGUUGAUUCUAAGGAUACCCCCAAUAAACAUCUUUCGUGCUAAAGCCCAUUCCAGAAUUUACUUCCCAGCUAUCUUUGAUGUUCAUAUUGUCAGAGGUGGUGGCCACUGAAAUAGGCAAAGACAUGGAGCAUAUCUUGGGUCCAGGACCUUGGGAGUCCAGAGGAAGGUCUUUUUACCAUCAGCAUUCUCUACUGUGUUCAAGGACUGUCAGCCAAAGAUGGCCAGGUUCUCUACUGUGAUGGUGAAUUUUAUGUGUCAAUUUGACUGGACCAUGGGAUGCCCAGCUUUCCUUCAGAAAGAAAUGCAUUCAAAGAACCUACAUUCACAACAUAAAGAAAUAAAGCCUGCACCUACAGAUCUACACACAUGCCCAUGCACAUGCAGGAAGUGUUCAUCAAAGACCGGACCUUUUAGAAGAAAGCUGGCAUACAUUCGUGAAGGCAUGGGCUUCCAGGCAUGUCAUCUUCACUCACGAAGUACACACAAGACCGCCAAGCAUUAAGAUUCUCCUGUGGAGCCAGGCAACAAUCCUUUAAAUGAAGACAGACAGCUAGGUGGCUGCAGCCCAGCGCUACACCUCACCCCUCCCUCAGUGUCAUGCAGAAAAAAUGUAUUCAGAAGUCAGAAGUGAAGUUGUGCAAAUCCAUCAUUGACACUAGCUUCAGGGUUACCUCGGGGGAGCUGAAUGUACCCCUGCCAGAGAGCUGGAUGGAUGAUGAUGGGGACAGAAAUUCUGGGGGAGUUGUAAAUGGCAGCCACUGCCUCUAUAGGAAACCCAAAGGGAACACAGCAGAAGAGGAGGUGGUGGAGGAGCCACUGCCCUCUCGAAGGGUUCGAUGUCAUUCUGCAGACACAACCAAAUAACUUUUUCUUCCCUGCUGCUCCUCCAUUUG